GAAGAACAGAUAAUAUCUGCUCAUUUCCUAAUUUCACCGGAAGAUGGCAGUCUAUAUGCCUCGUGGGCAGAUGAAUAAACAAGGACCAGAAAAUUGUGAUGUUGCAGCUCUUUUAAAUCUCAUUAAUUUCUGCGAUCACUUCAGCUUUGUUGAACGUCGAAAACUAAUUGAGGUAAUUAAAUGUCGUAAUGAGUUGAUGCAUUCCACUGAAAUGAGUGUGUCUGUCGAAUGGUUAGAUAACAGCGUGCAGAAAAUUCUUGACCUUCUACAGGAAUUUCAACACGUUGCUGAAACAAAAACAACAAGCAAAAUAAUACAAAAGAUUAUAUCAUCCAGCUGGAAAGUUCAAAUAUCAGGAAUGGAUAUGGUUGAUGAUGCCCAUGCGUCGGAUGAAGAGCUGAAUGCUGAGGAGAUCCACAAUGUUGAACUGAGACUAGUUAGAGAAAAACUGCAGGAACUGUGUUUCAUACUAGAAGAACAAAAGGAAUUACAGGAACAGGAUUUAAACUGUUUGAGAAGAUUCAAAGAAUUUUUGAAAGAUAACCGAGAGUUGGAGAGUGAACUCCAUGACGAGCUGCAGCAGUUGUACAAACUGGAGAUGAAGUUAAACAGUGUCCCAGAGCCUGUUGCUGAAGAUGAGGGCGAAAAGGAAUAGUUCCAGUACCAGCACAUCAGGAGGUGCCAAAGAUUGUUCCUGAUGGUCUCGCAAUUACUUUGGAUCCAUCGGGAGGUUUAAAUACGGACAGAGAUUCCAUUGAACCAGAAGCCACAGACAUGCAGAAUUUCUCUUCAGAGUUUGCCGUGAGCCAAGUAAGAAAAAA
This is an RNA transcript of Callorhinchus milii (elephant shark), 821 nucleotides long. RefSeq lists it as uncharacterized. The transcript has 7 exons. The record is from RefSeq and is a predicted model, not a curated record. Lineage: Eukaryota; Metazoa; Chordata; Chondrichthyes; Chimaeriformes; Callorhinchidae.